Molecule: long non-coding RNA, 795 nt
Organism: Oncorhynchus gorbuscha (pink salmon)
Lineage: Eukaryota; Metazoa; Chordata; Actinopteri; Salmoniformes; Salmonidae
Exons: 3
Source: RefSeq, a predicted model, not a curated record
UGCUUAUGCAUUGUGGUACUUGCCUUGGUUGAGAAAUUUUUGCUUCCUGCAUACACAUCCAGGGACAAGUUGAGAGAAAGAAAGAGGGUUCGCUCGCUGUGAAAGCCAGGACAUUGACAGUAAUGUUACCAUCUAGUACAACCAAAAUAAUAGUUAUUCUAUAGAGGAGAAGGUUUAACUUUCGAUUGCACGGACGAACAUUUUUUUUACGCAUUCACUAGCCAAACUGUUCACGCACAACGUAGGUUUUGCAACGAAGAGGCAGAGGGAAAAGAAGACAGGCUAUUAAACCCGUUCGUUUGAAACCCUUUUUUAGCUAACAUACCUCCGUGAUGUCGGAGCGAGGAGGGCUCCCGCGGACUGGAGGUGCCCCCUCCCCGCACGUGCAGCCCUCCAAACCGGUCACGAUCACCUCGAAUCGCCCGGUCCACAUGAACCUCUACGCCACCUGGGAAGUGGACCGCUCUUCGCCAAGCUGUGUGCCGAGAUCAACGGCCAGACCGAACGGGCCAACCAAGAGAUGGAGACUGCCCUACGCUGUGUGACUUCUGCUAACCCUUCCUCCUGGAGCUACCCUGGGUUGAAUAUGCCGACAACACCCUCAUCAAUGCCUCGUCAGGAACAUCUGCGCCGUUGUCACCGUACCUGGAGGAAGGCCCGAGCUGCCCUUUUCGUGCCUCUGACAGGACCCAGUCCCAAGCCAACUGUCGCUGGGCCUCAGCUCCAGUCUACCCCCCAGGUCAAAAGGUAUGCUUCUCAUCGAAGGACCUGCCAUUGAAGGUGGCACCGAAGAAA